This 463-nucleotide ribosomal RNA is filed under the name uncultured bacterium. RNAcentral describes it as "bacterial SSU rRNA". It matches the Rfam family "Bacterial small subunit ribosomal RNA", at positions 30 to 490 of the family's 1533-position model. The record is from RNAcentral.
AUUGAACGCUGGCGGCAUGCCUUACACAUGCAAGUCGAACGGCAGCACGGGAGCAAUCCUGGUGGCGAGUGGCGAACGGGUGAGUAAUAUAUCGGAACGUGCCCAGUCGUGGGGAUAACGUAGCGAAAGCUACGCUAAUACCGCAUACGAUCUACGGAUGAAAGCGGGGGAUCGCAAGACCUCGCGCGAUUGGAGCGGCCGAUAUCAGAUUAGGUAGUUGGUGAGGUAAAGGCUCACCAAGCCGACGAUCUGUAGCUGGUCUGAGAGGACGACCAGCCACACUGGGACUGAGACACGGCCCAGACUCCUACGGGAGGCAGCAGUGGGGAAUUUUGGACAAUGGGCGCAAGCCUGAUCCAGCCAUUCCGCGUGCAGGAUGAAGGCCCUCGGGUUGUAAACUGCUUUGUACGGAACGAAAGGUUCUAUUAAUACUAGCAGCUCAUGACGGUACCGUAAGAAUAAG